UGGGGAAUUUUUGUCAAUGGGGGAAACCCUGAACAAGCAACGCCGCGUGGAGGACGAAGACCUUCGGGUUGUAAACUCCUGUCGGAGGGGACGGAAAGCGAUCGAGGCUAAUAUCCUCGGUCGUUGACGGUACCCUACGAGGAAGCCCGGCUAACUCCGUGCCAGCAGCCGCGGUAAUACGGGGGGGGCGAAGCGUUGUUCGGAAUUACUGGGCGUAAAGGGCGCGUAGGCGGGCGGGCAAGUCUCUCGUGAAAGCCCACGGCUCAACCGUGGAAUUGCGGGAGAUACUGCCUGUCUUGAGUCCGGGAGAGGAGGGUGGAAUUCCCAGUGUAGCGGUGAAAUGCGUAGAUAUUGGGAGGAACACCGGUGGCGAAGGCGGCUCUCUGGACCGGUACUGACGCUGAGGCGCGAAAGCUAGGGGAGCAAACGGGAUUAGAUACCCCGGUAGUCCUAGCCGUAAACGAUGAGCACUUGGUGUGGCGGGUAUCGACCCCGCCGUGCCGAAGCUAA
Molecule: ribosomal RNA, 510 nt
Filed under: uncultured Acidobacteriota bacterium
Lineage: Bacteria; Pseudomonadati; Acidobacteriota
Description: bacterial SSU rRNA
Rfam family: Bacterial small subunit ribosomal RNA
Source: RNAcentral